RNAcentral lists this ribosomal RNA (255 nucleotides) under uncultured bacterium. RNAcentral's name for it is "partial 16S ribosomal RNA". It matches the Rfam family "Bacterial small subunit ribosomal RNA", at positions 524 to 776 of the family's 1533-position model. The record is from RNAcentral.
UACAGAGGUCUCAAGCGUUGUUCGGAUUCAUUGGGCGUAAAGGGUGCGUAGGUGGCGCCGUAAGUCGGGUGUGAAAUUUCGGAGCUUAACUCCGAAACUGCAUUCGAUACUGCGGUGCUUGAGGACUGGAGAGGAGACUGGAAUUCAUGGUGUAGCAGUGAAAUGCGUAGAGAUCAUGAGGAAGACCAGUGGCGAAAGGCGGGUCUCUGGACAGUUCCUGACACUGAGGCACGAAAGGCCAGGGGAGCAAACGGG